GGGCUUGUAGCUCAAGUGGUAGAGCAACCUGUAGUCCCUCUUGUUGACUGCAGUGUGUCUUGUGGGUUCAAAUCCCACCAAGCCCA
This 86-nucleotide transfer RNA is filed under the name Bacillus sp. AFS031507. RNAcentral describes it as "tRNA-OTHER". It matches the Rfam family "tRNA". From Rfam's summary of the family: Transfer RNA (tRNA) molecules are approximately 80 nucleotides in length. Their secondary structure includes four short double-helical elements and three loops (D, anti-codon, and T loops). Lineage: Bacteria; Bacillati; Bacillota; Bacilli; Caryophanales; Bacillaceae. The record is from RNAcentral.